RNAcentral lists this ribosomal RNA (497 nucleotides) under uncultured bacterium. RNAcentral's name for it is "partial 16S ribosomal RNA". It matches the Rfam family "Bacterial small subunit ribosomal RNA", at positions 28 to 507 of the family's 1533-position model. The record is from RNAcentral.
GAUGAACGCUGGCGGCGUGCCUAAUACAUGCAAGUCGAGCGAACAGACGAGGAGCUUGCUCCUUUGACGUUAGCGGCGGACGGGUGAGUAACACGUAGGUAACCUACCUAUAAGACUGGGAUAACUUCGGGAAACCGGAGCUAAUACCGGAUAAUAUUUCGAACCGCAUGGUUCGAUAGUGAAAGAUGGCUUUGCUAUCACUUAUAGAUGGACCUGCGCCGUAUUAGCUAGUUGGUAAGGUAACGGCUUACCAAGGCAACGAUACGUAGCCGACCUGAGAGGGUGAUCGGCCACACUGGAACUGAGACACGGUCCAGACUCCUGCGGGAGGCAGCAGUAGGGAAUCUGCCGCAAUGGGCGAAAGCCUGACGGAGCAACGCCGCGUGAGUGAUGAAGGUCUUCGGAUCGUAAAACUCUGUUAUUAGGGAAGAACAAACGUGUAAGUAACUGUGCACGUCGUGACGGUACCUAAUCAGAAAGCCACGGCUAACUACGUG